AUCGAGCCCAUCGAACUGGCUGGCCGACCUCCUCUCCUGCCCCUCUCCCCUCUCCCCGAAGAAACCAUAGCCCUACCUCCCCCCCGUCCCGUCAGCUUCCUAAUGUCCACCCCAGUACCUCCCC
RNAcentral lists this non-coding RNA (124 nucleotides) under Goniomonas pacifica. Lineage: Eukaryota; Cryptophyceae; Goniomonadida; Goniomonadaceae. The record is from RNAcentral.